UCACUUUUAAGAGAUUUAGAGGAGUGAGAAGACAUGACUAAAGCUUUGUGUGUAGAAGUAUUUUACCUUGAGAAAAAUUUAGGGAAGUCAAAGAAGGUAGUCUUCCAGGUAAGGGAGGUGAGUCACAGUGGACUACUUAAAUACCAAGCCUUUGCCUUAGUCAAAAACUAUCCCUCAAUGUCUUCACACAAAGCUUUCUCUUAGUAAACCACUUGGAACACAAUUAAGUUGAGAAAUCAGAUUUUAAUGCAAGAAAACAAUGCAAGCUAACUAAUCAACAAAGCUAGACGGUUUAUCACAAACUUAACAAAAUAUUCAUGCAAAGCGUCACUAACUAAGCAAAAGAAAAGGCAAUUACAAACAAGUAACAAUUACUAAACAAGAAUGCUAUACUAUUCGGCCCUAGGUGAGGCUUCUUGGACACUUGGAGCCCUUGAAGACACACUCACCGUCUAAAACGUAAUUAAAAGGGUAAUUAACAAUAAACCAGGUUGCAAAGGAAUUAAGAAAACUCCCUUUGUUGAUCCUCUUUUUGGUUAGUGCACUUCCUUGUUGUCUAUGCUUGUUUGAUCCUCCAAGUGUUUGUAGUGUUUUCUUUUUCAAGAAUGCUUGUUUCGGCUUUGGCUUUGUCUUCUCCUUAGAAUGAUGGUCUUAAUUCUCCAAUUUCCAGCACCUAUCAAAGGGCUAAACCUUAACCAAGUCAAGUUUCAAUCCACAUAAGCACCAAAGAAGAGAAGAAAUUCCAGCACCCAAAUUAGAGGUCAAAGAACAAAAGCAAGAAACAAUUAAAUUGAAUAAAACAGUACCACCAAAAGGAUUUAGAUUAUGACAACUAGAAAGAGAGUCAAGAAAUUAAAGCAACAAAUAAAAGGUAC
This 875-nucleotide long non-coding RNA is filed under the name Phaseolus vulgaris (common bean). Its description in RNAcentral is "long non-coding RNA (PVUL_LNC003495)". The record is from RNAcentral. Lineage: Eukaryota; Viridiplantae; Streptophyta; Magnoliopsida; Fabales; Fabaceae.